This 921-nucleotide ribosomal RNA is filed under the name Triticum aestivum (bread wheat). RNAcentral's name for it is "partial small subunit ribosomal RNA". The record is from RNAcentral. Lineage: Eukaryota; Viridiplantae; Streptophyta; Magnoliopsida; Poales; Poaceae.
AUGGAUGGGGGCGUUGUUGCGGAUGGAGACAACGCCAGGGAAGAAAACCAGGGCGCAGCGGACGGGUCAGGCCUUGGCGCCCCUAUGGAUCCAGCGCUGGUGGCCAAUGGCGAGGGCGGGGUUGCGUCUGAGGAGGGGUCGGUUGAGGGUGCGGCUGAGGGUGCCGACGGGAUAGCUUCCGCAGGUGGCGGUGUCUCGACUGCAGCGGGCCUGGGUCAAGGUGCAACAGUGGCUGGGGGCUCUGUCGCCGGCGUGGCUAAAGACUCCGGCCAGGGCACUGCUAGGCCGGCCUCGGCAAGUGCUCCAGACCAGGGCACGGCCCGUUUGGCCUCGGCUACAUGGUUGUGUCCAGAUAGGAUGGAUCGAAAUUCAAGUUAUUUGCUUAGAAUUAAAUUGUUUGGCAAUCCAAAAAAAGCUCGGAAGGACAUACGAUGUUUUUAUUUUGAGAAGGUCAUCAAUUGUGACUUGACAAAUUAUAAGGAUUUGGUUGGAUCAAUUGUAAAGCAGUACCCGCCGCGUUAUAUGGAAGUUGCACAUGUGCAGUAUUAUGACGGUGAUCUUAAAACCUGUCCGGAAGUAAAAUCUGACCAAGAUUUGAUGCUUAUGUUUGAAAAACACUCGGAGACAAAGGUGCUGCAUAUGAUCAUUGCAUAUUCUGAUCCCUCUGAACCAUAUGAGCCUAUCACUGAGUGGCAUAGUGAUAGCGAACCUGACAACAAUAUAGAACAUGAGGAUGAUACUACAAACAAGAGAAAUGCAAAAGGGGGAAAAAGGGCUACAAGGAAGAUGGAGCUUACUAAAAAUGAUCAAAAUGGUCCUAAGGUUCCUUUUGACAGCCCUGCAAUGGGCACUAGAAGCAAAACAUCUUACCUAGCCAGCCCUGCAAUGAGCACAAGAAGCAAAAGAAGGCUCGGUUCGUGA